This is a long non-coding RNA of Perca fluviatilis (European perch), 1182 nucleotides long. RefSeq lists it as uncharacterized. NCBI's taxonomy places the organism in Eukaryota, Metazoa, Chordata, Actinopteri, Perciformes, Percidae. The record is from RefSeq and is a predicted model, not a curated record. The transcript is spliced from 2 exons.
AGAGAGAGAGAGAGAGAGAGAGAGAAAUUUUAUUGUAAUGCACAGAACGACCUGCCCUCUUUUGAAAAAAAGCGAGAAAGCGCAGCCAUGCUUUGCAGAGGCUACAGCAUCGCUGUCAUUGGUAGUAUCAGCUUCUCGCCAGACGGAGUCUUUGCUUGUCCGCCGCUACGGCGAAAGGAACCGGGAAUACAAGCGACUGCCUCCGUGAUGUUAAGAUCUGCAAUGAAGAAUUAAUGCUAGAAUGAAGUAAAAAAUAAAACAAACAAAAAAAACAGCGCAGCACGGAUACAUAUUAGCAGAGCACAGUGUGGUGGGAUCCACCAUAUGGCGUGGACCAUAUCAUGGUGCAUUAUGGGAUAAUGGAGGACUUUUACGCUUUCUGCGAUUAUGGACAAAGCAGUCGACGGAAAAGCAUCAAACGGAGUCAUUUUUCGCCUGCAAAAGCGGCCUGGGACGUAUCAUCAUUUUGCCCGCAAAACUACCUACUGGCUGUUCUGCGUUUAAGUCAUUCCUGUAACCUAACUUCUUGUUCCUCCAAUUGAAUGUUGUUGUUUUUUUAACAUAAUAAGGUAGGCCACAACAACCGGGUGAGGAUUUGAUCUCUUUGGACCAGUGCUUGGAAUUUUUAUUUUGUUUCAACUUUUGGCCAAACUUGACAUCCCGAAACAGUUUUUAGUCACACAACAGAGUCCUUAAAGGCUGCAAAAGUAUUUGAUUAUAUUUGUAACAGAUUUUAGGGAAUGGGUCGAGAUGUCUGGCCGUUUCCCCACAGCAGCGUGAAUGCAGAUGGACACACGUUCAUACACACAUGCAUGCAAAUACACACACACACACACACACACACACACACACACACACACACACACACACACACACACACACACACACACACACACACACACACGAGCGGGUUGUGUCUCUCCGUGUUCACAGCGGACCUUGAUUUAAUGUCUUACAAUUAAGGCACGCGGUGAAUGCCAAGAGAUGAUCCUUCUUUCUUCGCAUGACUGCUGAUCCAAGAAAUACAUCACAUCUUGUAACUAACUAAAUUUUUUAAACAGCCUAUUUGGUGUCGCUUUCACAGUAAAUUUGCUUCUGUCGUUUCAAACUGUAACGCAUUAACUCAUGUACUGUCUCUUCCCCCCCAUUCGUCCAUCAAUAAAGUAAAUACACGCAACCAUU